This 305-nucleotide ribosomal RNA is filed under the name uncultured bacterium. RNAcentral's name for it is "bacterial SSU rRNA". It matches the Rfam family "Bacterial small subunit ribosomal RNA", at positions 333 to 654 of the family's 1533-position model. The record is from RNAcentral.
UUUCGCCUACGGGGGGCAGCAGUGGGGAAUAUUGCACAAUGGGGGAAACCCUGAUGCAGCAACGCCGCGUGAAGGAAGACGGUUUUCGGAUUGUAAACUUCUGUUCUUAGUGAAGAAAAAUGACGGUAGCUAAGGAGCAAGCCACGGCUAACUACGUGCCAGCAGCCGCGAUAAUACGUAGGGGGCGAGCGUUAUCCGGAUUCACUGGGUGUAAAGGGAGCGUAGACGGCCAAGCAAGCCAGGGGUGAAAGCCCGGGGCCCAACCCCGGGACUGCCCUUGGAACUGCAUGGCUGGAGUGCGGGCG